RNAcentral lists this unclassified non-coding RNA (338 nucleotides) under Hevea brasiliensis (rubber tree). Lineage: Eukaryota; Viridiplantae; Streptophyta; Magnoliopsida; Malpighiales; Euphorbiaceae. The record is from RNAcentral.
UUUUUCUCAUAUAAUCAGACAUUUGAUCUUAACAUUGUGAUAAGAACGAUAGUAACGCAUGAAGGUGAAGCUUCUAUAGGAGCAGGAGGAGCCAUUGUUGCUCUGUCAAACCCUGAAGAUGAGUAUGAUGAAAUGAUAUUGAAAACAAAUGCACCAGCAAAGGCAGUGGUAGAAUUUCAAUAGGAUCAUAAUUGAACAUUGUAGAAUAUUAAAAAGUGUUGUAUUUUUAUUCCUUUUCUUCUUACAGUGUUAUCACCACACACACACACAAGCAUACUUAGGCCUGCAGGGAACUGGGGCAAUUUAGCAUAGAUUUUUUUGGUUCAAACAUUGGCAAU